CCUACGGGCGGCUGCAGUGGGGAAUUUUGGACAAUGGGGGCAACCCUGAUCCAGCAAUGCCGCGUGCAGGAAGAAGGCCUUCGGGUUGUAAACUGCUUUUGUACGGAACGAAACGGCUCUGGUUAAUACCCGGAGCUAAUGACGGUACCGUAAGAAUAAGCACCGGCUAACUACGUGCCAGCAGCCGCGGUAAUACGUAGGGUGCGAGCGUUAAUCGGAAUUACUGGGCGUAAAGCGUGCGCAGGCGGUGCUGUAAGACAGGCGUGAAAUCCCCGGGCUUAACCUGGGAAUGGCGCUUGUGACUGCAGUGCUGGAGUGCGGCAGAGGGGGAUGGAAUUCCGCGUGUAGCAGUGAAAUGCGUAGAUAUGCGGAGGAACACCGAUGGCGAAGGCAAUCCCCUGGGCCUGCACUGACGCUCAUGCACGAAAGCGUGGGGAGCAAACAGGAUUAGAUACCCCAGUAGUC
RNAcentral lists this ribosomal RNA (465 nucleotides) under uncultured Hydrogenophaga sp. RNAcentral's name for it is "bacterial SSU rRNA". It matches the Rfam family "Bacterial small subunit ribosomal RNA", at positions 338 to 795 of the family's 1533-position model. Lineage: Bacteria; Pseudomonadati; Pseudomonadota; Betaproteobacteria; Burkholderiales; Comamonadaceae. The record is from RNAcentral.